This 99-nucleotide ribosomal RNA is filed under the name uncultured bacterium. Its description in RNAcentral is "partial 16S ribosomal RNA". It matches the Rfam family "Bacterial small subunit ribosomal RNA", at positions 1401 to 1500 of the family's 1533-position model. The record is from RNAcentral.
ACCAUGAGAGUUGGAAAUACCCGAAGCCUGUGAGCUAACUUUUAGAGGCAGCAGUCGAAGGUAGAGCCAAUGAUUGGGGUGAAGUCGUAACAAGGUACC